CCCUUAGAUGUUCUGGGCCACACGCGCGUUACACUGAUGAAGCCAGCGAGUAUAUCGCCUUCACCGGAAGGUGCGGGUAAUCUUGUGAAACUUCAUCGUGCUGGGGAUAGACCAUUGCAAUUAUUGGUCUUGAACGAGGAAUUCCUAGUAAGCAUGAGUCAUCAACUCGUGCUGAUUACGUCCCUGCCCUUUGUACACACCGCCCGUCGCUACUACCGAUUGAGUGAUCCGGUGAAUAAUUCGGACUGCAGCAGUGCUUGGUCCUCCGGGCUUUGCAGCGGAAAGUUUAGUGAACCUUAUCACUUAGAGGAAGGAGAAGUCGUAACA
This 327-nucleotide ribosomal RNA is filed under the name uncultured eukaryote. RNAcentral's name for it is "partial 18S ribosomal RNA". It matches the Rfam family "Eukaryotic small subunit ribosomal RNA", at positions 1470 to 1796 of the family's 1831-position model. The record is from RNAcentral.